Molecule: ribosomal RNA, 550 nt
Filed under: uncultured bacterium
Lineage: Bacteria
Description: bacterial SSU rRNA
Rfam family: Bacterial small subunit ribosomal RNA
Source: RNAcentral
UAGGGAAUCUUCGGCAAUGGACGGAAGUCUGACCGAGCAACGCCGCGUGAGUGAAGAAGGUUUUCGGAUCGUAAAGCUCUGUUGUAAGAGAAGAACGAGUGUGAGAGUGGAAAGUUCACACUGUGACGGUAUCUUACCAGAAAGGGACGGCUAACUACGUGCCAGCAGCCGCGGUAAUACGUAGGUCCCGAGCGUUGUCCGGAUUUAUUGGGCGUAAAGCGAGCGCAGGCGGUUAGAUAAGUCUGAAGUUAAAGGCUGUGGCUUAACCAUAGUACGCUUUGGAAACUGUUUAACUUGAGUGCAAGAGGGGAGAGUGGAAUUUCAUGUGUAGCGGUGAAAUGCGUAGAUAUAUGGAGGAACACCGGUGGCGAAAGCGGCUCUCUGGCUUGUAACUGACGCUGAGGCUCGAAAGCGUGGGGAGCAAACAGGAUUAGAUACCCUGGUAGUCCACGCCGUAAACGAUGAGUGCUAGGUGUUAGACCCUUUCCGGGGUUUAGUGCCGCAGCUAACGCAUUAAGCACUCCGCCUGGGGAGUACGACCGCAAGGUUG